Molecule: long non-coding RNA, 1594 nt
Filed under: Camarhynchus parvulus
Lineage: Eukaryota; Metazoa; Chordata; Aves; Passeriformes; Thraupidae
Description: lncRNA (ENSCPVG00000018295.1)
Source: RNAcentral
AUCUCGUCCCCCGGUGGGGCCUCAUGUCCCCCCCCCCCCGGGGCGUUUCCCCGCCCCCCCGGCCCGGCCCCCCCCGGGGCGGUUCCCACCGUGUGUCCCCCCCCCGCUCAGUGUCCCCCUCGGUGUCCCCUGCGUGUCCCCUCAGUGUCCCCCCCCGAUGGCGCCGGGCCCCGCUCUGCUGCUCGCGGCGCUGCUGGCGCUGCCCGCCCCGGGCUCCCCCGCCUCCCCGCCCGGGGGUCCCGGCCCCCCCCGGCUCCGCGUCCGUUUCUCCCCCCCCCGCUGCUGCCCCGGGGGUCGCUGCGCCCCCGGGUGUCGCCCCCGGGCCGGGGGGGACCCGGAGGCGGCGGGGGCGCGGCGACAGCAACGUCACCGUGGUGGUGCUGGAGAGCGGCCGGGCCCCCGGGCAGCGGCUUCAGGCUCGUGCUGUGCCCGCUGCUCUGCCGGAACGGGGGGGUCUGCGCCCACCCCCAGCGCUGCCUGUGCCCCCCCCAGUUCACCGGGAAGUUUUGUCACCUCCCCUCGGGCAACGGCACCAAAGAGAGCGCCCCAAACCCGCGGGGGGCGCCCCCAAAUCCCCGCAACGUCCACGGGGGGGCGCCCCCAAAUCCCCGCAACGUCCACGGGGGGGCGCCCCAAGCCUUGACCCGCUCCAUCUACACCCUGCCCCUGAGCAACCACCGCGACGAGGAGGAUGGCGCGCAGUCCAUGGUGAGCGUGCUGGUGCGGCACCCGCCGCACGCCACGGUGACGAUCCACAGCGUGGAGCGGGUGCGGGGCGGCGGCGGCCGCGACCCCUCCCCAGCGCCCCCCACCCCCCCCCCCCGCGAGCCCCCCGCCCCAAUUCCGGGUGCUCGCACAGAGGGGACCCGGCCGGGACCCCCCCGCCGGCGAGAACUCGGGGUUCGGGUAUUGCUUCAGGCAGCUGCGGGGGGGGCAGUGCAGCUCCCCCCUGCCCGGGCUCCGCACCCGGGACAUUUGCUGCCGCGGCGGCGGCGGCGUCGCCUGGGGCGUCCGCGAGUGUCACCCGUGCGACGGCCACGCCCAGCCGUGCCCGCCGGGAUUCCAGCGGCAGAACGGAACCUGCGUGGACGUGGACGAGUGCCAGGAGGGGGCGCUGUGCCAGCUCGGGCUCUGCACCAACACCCGCGGCAGCUUCGCCUGCCUGUGCCCGCCGGGCUUCCUGCUGGAUUCGUCCCGCUCCCGCUGCAUCUCCCAGCAGGUGCUGUCCGAGGCCCGCGGGCCGUGUUUCCGCCUCCUGCGGGACGGCCCUGGCCGCUGCUGCGCGCUGCCCACCCUGCGCAACAUCACCCGCCAGGUUUGCUGCUGCAGCCGCGUGGGCAAAGCCUGGGGGGGCUCCUGCCUGCUCUGCCCCCCCUUCGGAUCCGAGGGGUUCCGGGAGCUCUGCCCGGCCGGGCCCGGCUAUCACUACUCGGCCUCGGACCUGCGGAUCAGCGCUCAGUACCUGGGCCAGGAAAUUGGGGCGGGGGUCCCGCUGGGGCCGCCCCCCCUCAGCACCCCCCCCGCGACCCCCGGUGAGCGCCCCAAAAAAAUCCGGGAAAAAAAAACCCAAAAAAAUCACAAAAAAACCCAAAAA